This is a long non-coding RNA of Mesocricetus auratus (golden hamster), 713 nucleotides long. RefSeq lists it as uncharacterized. NCBI's taxonomy places the organism in Eukaryota, Metazoa, Chordata, Mammalia, Rodentia, Cricetidae. The transcript has 2 exons. The record is from RefSeq and is a predicted model, not a curated record.
UGAGACACUUCCGUCCCGGCUCACAUCGUGCCUGCCCUUCUAACAACCUGACCCUCUCUCUUCCCACAGCCCUGGGCGAACGUGAAAGCCGUUUUCUACCAACCACAUCCUUCUGGGCCAGCAUCACUGUGGAAAACUGGCCCCACUCCUCGCUGCUGCAAGGGUGAAUUAGCUGGGGGCCAUGCUGGAGAGCUCCCCCCGGGUGAUGAGGACAGGGAGGAACUGGUGGGCUGACCAACCCUGCAGCUGCCCAGGUCCAGAACCCGGGUUAUGACUUGGCGCAUCCCAUCACCCACCCCACCCGUGAUCUGCUGGAGCACAUGAAGGGACCUGACCCGUAGGAUCUCCAUGACACGGGGCAACAAGGACACGUCCAGGAAGAGUCCCAGUGAGGGCCGGGCAUCGAUAGUGUAAUAGAAACCAGAGGCCUCGAACCAGACCAAAGACUCUUUGCGGUGAACACCUGCAAGUAAAUACACAAUGACAAAGGCGUUUACGGACUGACUCAUUGCGUCACGCUGUGAUUUCCAUGACAAGAUUUUUGAUUUUUUUUCCUUUUUAUGUAUUUUAUUUUUCUCUCUCUCUCUCUUAAAUUUUGUUUUAUUUGGGAGCUGUUGCAGGGCAGAGGGAGGAUGUGAAGGGACGGGGGAAUGCAUGGGAUCAAGAUGCAUGAUGUGAAAAUCACACUGAAUAAAUAGAAAAAGAGACGAGAA